AUGCACGCACGAGUUGACCUGGACAAGCCGCCGGUGCUGCAGGAUGUGGCGGAUUUCUUCAGUGGCCACGGAAUCGAGGACUUCACCUUCAGUAGGGGCAGGCUGUCAGAAUGGUGUUGCCGGGCAAAGCUAGCGGUACGCGGAACACCAGAGAAACCACUGGUUGGCCUGUAUCAGGAAGGGACACAUACUGUUCAAGAUAUUCCCGAUUGCAGAGGUAGGACAGGAGGAACAGCGACAAGCGACGGGAUGAAGCCCGGCCAUGGAAACCCACCGCAGCCUUCAAGACCUCGACGGCGGUCGGUGCCAUGGUAUGAAUCCUUCCUCCACUUCAAGACCUCUACGUACGGCGGUCGGCAGCACGCGCGCGCAUUGCACUCUUCCUCUUGCUCUGUUCUUGGGCUGAUGCUGGCGGCGGUGCAGGGGAUCCUAAUCAACAUGCAGUUCCUGGGGCCGGAGAUCGACGCCGUCACCAACGACAACAUCGUCAUCAACGUCUUCAACAACCUGAUCUGA
Molecule: ribosomal RNA, 516 nt
Filed under: Triticum aestivum (bread wheat)
Lineage: Eukaryota; Viridiplantae; Streptophyta; Magnoliopsida; Poales; Poaceae
Description: partial small subunit ribosomal RNA
Source: RNAcentral